Molecule: transfer RNA, 87 nt
Filed under: Planctomycetota bacterium
Lineage: Bacteria; Pseudomonadati; Planctomycetota
Description: Planctomycetes bacterium tRNA-Ser
Rfam family: tRNA
About the family: Transfer RNA (tRNA) molecules are approximately 80 nucleotides in length. Their secondary structure includes four short double-helical elements and three loops (D, anti-codon, and T loops).
Source: RNAcentral
GGAGAGAUGGCAGAGCGGUUGAAUGCACCGGUCUUGAAAACCGGCGUGCCCGUAAGGGUACCGGGGGUUCGAAUCCCCCUCUCUCCG